Molecule: ribosomal RNA, 201 nt
Filed under: Clostridioides difficile
Lineage: Bacteria; Bacillati; Bacillota; Clostridia; Peptostreptococcales; Peptostreptococcaceae
Description: partial 16S ribosomal RNA
Rfam family: Bacterial small subunit ribosomal RNA
Source: RNAcentral
AAACUCCUACGGGAGGCAGCAGUGGGGAAUAUUGCACAAUGGGCGAAAGCCUGAUGCAGCAACGCCGCGUGAGUGAUGAAGGCCUUCGGGUCGUAAAACCCUGUCCUCAAGGAAGAUAAUGACGGUACUUGAGGAGGAAGCCCCGGCUAACUACGUGCCAGCAGCCGCGGUAAUACGUAGGGGGCUAGCGUUAUCCGGAUU